RNAcentral lists this ribosomal RNA (207 nucleotides) under uncultured bacterium. RNAcentral describes it as "partial 16S ribosomal RNA". It matches the Rfam family "Bacterial small subunit ribosomal RNA", at positions 568 to 774 of the family's 1533-position model. The record is from RNAcentral.
CGUGUAGGCGGUGUGGUAAGUCAGAUGUGAAAGCCCAGGGCUUAACCCUGGAAGUGCAUUUGAUACUGCCAUUCUUGAGUAUGGGAGAGGAGAGUGGAAUUCCCAGUGUAGAGGUGAAAUUCGUAGAUAUUGGGAGGAACACCCGUGGCGAAGGCGGCUCUCUGGACCAAUACUGACGCUGAGACGCGAAAGCGUGGGGAGCAAACA